AAUUCAGCUACGAAGACUUCUGUGGAAGAGAUGCCUAGGUAGGAGAACAGCAAGUACAAAUAGCCUAGAGUAGGCUGGAGAAGAACGGGUAGAAACAAGAGUCAGGUUUUCAGACAACAUUGAUCACCAGUGGACGCUACUCUAAUUCCUAACUUUUCCAAAUACCAUCAAAACAAAGUUGUGAACCAACACUUACUGAAGAUUUGAGGAAAAUGAUGAAAACUAGUAGUACUGUACUGUAUAAGCAGCAACUAAAAGCUGAAUAUUAGCCAUUAUUCGACUACAUUUUGUUGACUAUUUGUCAUCUUAGAAUAUUUCCUAUGGACUCCUUCCUCUAUGGACCAGAUUUAAUGUAACUGUUUAUGUUGCCUGCUCUGUCCCUCCACCUCCUUUUUCCAGUUGCCCAGAGAUGUCAAACUUUUCUUGUAUAACUAUGGAAAAUGGCUAUCUUAUAUUGUUUUACUUACUCUCAUCUAGCUUAAGCCCUUUAGUAUCUUCUAAAUUCACUGACAAACAGACCUUGUCUUAUUAAUUAAAAAAAUCACUUACUCCAUAGCCUAAUUAUGCAACUUUCCUAGAUAAUACGUGUCAUAUUUUUCGUAAAAUUAUAUUUCCC
Molecule: long non-coding RNA, 616 nt
Filed under: Equus caballus (horse)
Lineage: Eukaryota; Metazoa; Chordata; Mammalia; Perissodactyla; Equidae
Description: lncRNA (ENSECAG00000043993.1)
Source: RNAcentral